RNAcentral lists this non-coding RNA (30 nucleotides) under Homo sapiens (human). The record is from RNAcentral. Lineage: Eukaryota; Metazoa; Chordata; Mammalia; Primates; Hominidae.
UGUAGGUGCACAGUGCAAGCUGUUGGUGGA